This 157-nucleotide non-coding RNA is filed under the name unclassified sequences. The record is from Rfam.
GCGUACCACUGUCUAUCGCACGGAUGUAACAUUAGCAAAGGCUGCGUGCCUUGCUUUCAUUCUUUCAAUAUUACUAAUAAUUUUGGUCGAGUACAUCCCGUUCUUGUAAAAAGAAGAAAGAUAGCGGCGGUAUGGUCUCUAUAUAGGGAGACGGGAG